CCUCAUCUGACCACACAGUUCCCCUGGAGGUGGGCUUCUGGCAUCACAAUCCUAAGAGUGAGGGGUGGAGAGGGGAUGCAGCAAGCCUGAGCCCACACAGCUGGUGCAUGGAGCCGGCACCCAUAUGGCCAGGGGCUCCAGCCCCAUCGCAGGACUGGGGCCAGCCACAGAAUGGCUUGUGCCCAUGAGGUGCUUUUCAGGAAGACAGGGUCACCGGCUGACUGCAUCAAGUCCUGUGAAUGUUCACACUCAUAUAACUACCCCAUGACAUCUGAAGCAACUCCAUCACAUCUCCAGACCAGAUCCUUCAGCCAUGACCUCAGUGUCCGUGCGGAGAGUGGGCAGCUGUGUCCUCGUCUGCAGUGUCGGGCAGCUCCGUGUCACCCUUGUGGCCCAUAGCCCCCACUGUUUGGACCUGGCCCCUGGGUGCGUGAUGAAGACCCUCCUUCACCAAACUAUAGCUGGGCUCCUCCACGUCCUUUCUCAACCUGGCCCGUGCUGGGGCCAUGUCCUCAAGAGCCAGAGCCCUGCUAAGGCAAAUUCCCCAUCCUCCCGGCCCCCAGGUGAUGUCUGACCUGCACCUGUCUCCAGCCGGGAGCCUGGCAGGUGUCUUCCCACCCCCCCGGCCCCCUGUAUUUGCCCUCAGUACCUGCCCACCGCAGACCCACCCGCUGCAAGGACCCGAACCAGCAACAGCCCAGCCAAUGAGAGACUGCCUCAGCUCAGCCAAUGAGAAACCACUAUGCUUUGAACGCCCAGUUUCAUCCAAUGGACUCUCUUUUUACAACAGCCCCCCCUCCAUAAAAGAGCCUCCUCUGCUUUGUUCUGCAGAUUCACCUGUGGUUUGUUCCUGUCUUCUUUGUCCUGGGUUGCAGUUCUCUGCUACUCCCAAAUAAACCCAUUUUUUGCUGGUAGAAUGACUGGUACUUUUAUUUUUUUUAAGGUUAUCAGUAGCAGAUUUUUUUCCAUGAAAUGAUGUGUCACUCUUCUGUUACAAAAUAUAUGUCUUCUUGGACACAAUAACUUCCUUCUAGGAAGCACUUGCUCAUCACCAACGUGUGCCAGGCCCUCUGUGCAUGGCCCCCCAGGGAGGAAGGGAUGGUGCGGUUUGCUGUGGGGUGUGGGUGAAACCAGGCUCCUCUCCCCAGGGGAGCAGGAAGGACAGGAGAGCCACACCUUCUCAGUAGCUGUUUUUAUCGUGUGGAUGCAGAGCGUCAUGGAACUGACUGGUUCCUCUCCCUGUUGGGGCCCAGGUGGGGCAGCCGUGGGCUGGUGUCCCACCCAGGGCAGGGGUCAGGGGUGGUGCCUCAGCUCUAAGUUCCUUCCAUUCUUCUCUCCCUAGUGUCCGUUCACCCUAGUUUCUUACUCAAUGUUUUCAAAUCUUUCUCUACUAAGGUUUUCCCUGAAAGAUACCCCAAGUACUCUCCAGAAUGAGUUAGGGCCCCAGGAAUGGUGUUAAAGCAAAUCAAACACAGGCCCCUGCCUGGACUGUCUGGCCUCAUCCUCGACCUGUCCUUCCUGGUCCUUGAAACCCCAGAUUUGCUCUGAGGAUCUCACAGCAUUCAAAGCUCACCGUCUUGUGUGGGGCUCAGGGAAACUCAUCAGCAAUCUCAUGCGACCAGACCUGUGACCAGGCAGCC
RNAcentral lists this long non-coding RNA (1640 nucleotides) under Vulpes vulpes (red fox). RNAcentral describes it as "lncRNA (ENSVVUG00000025097.1)". Lineage: Eukaryota; Metazoa; Chordata; Mammalia; Carnivora; Canidae. The record is from RNAcentral.